Sorex araneus (European shrew) is the source of this 106-nucleotide small nuclear RNA. The record is from RefSeq and is a predicted model, not a curated record. Lineage: Eukaryota; Metazoa; Chordata; Mammalia; Eulipotyphla; Soricidae.
GCGCUUGCUUCAGCAGCACAUAGACUAAAAUUGGAACACACAGAGAAGAUUAGCAUGGCCCCUGUCCAAAGAUCACACAUAAAUUCACUAAGCCUUCCAUAUUUUU